Alligator sinensis (Chinese alligator) is the source of this 519-nucleotide long non-coding RNA. RefSeq lists it as uncharacterized. The transcript is spliced from 4 exons. The record is from RefSeq and is a predicted model, not a curated record. NCBI's taxonomy places the organism in Eukaryota, Metazoa, Chordata, Crocodylia, Alligatoridae.
UGCCAGAACUUUCUUUCUACACACCUGUGUCUUUUUAAGUAUGGAAAUCAAUCCCUCAGCCCAGCUUUAGGAAUCAGGAUCUGUUUUGUUGCAGAGUACAUGUGUGGACUAGAGUGGCACCAGAACUACUAGCAGCAAUGACUGAAGAAGGCAUGCAAAGGAAGCAUGGAUGAAGAUCUGUAGCAGAUACCCACAUAACUUGUAACUCACUUUGCACCUCUCACUUCUCCUGCCUGCUCUCCUGAUGGACUGAAGAGGCAUUGCCUGACCAUAUCUUUUGAGCCACUACAACUCUUCAACAUUAAUGUGAAGAGGAAGAUUAUGGAGGUUAACUUCAAGGAAGCUAGGCCUUUACACUGCUCGCAGAAACUUCUUGCUGCUGACAUCGAGGCCAAUGACAAAAGACCCAUUCUCUUCAAGAGAAGAAGAGCAGAACCAGCUUUUGCAAUACUGUUAGCCUGAAUAUUUUCUACCAAGACCUACAAGACCCCUGUCCUGCUCACAAGAACCCCUAUCCAG